This 392-nucleotide small RNA is filed under the name Pongo abelii (Sumatran orangutan). RNAcentral's name for it is "processed transcript". The record is from RNAcentral. Lineage: Eukaryota; Metazoa; Chordata; Mammalia; Primates; Hominidae.
CAGCAAAGUUUGUGAAAGGCAGCAGAAUCCCACUCCCCAUGCUUGCCCUCAGGACCCUCACUGGAGCAGAAGCAUUGCUCAGAGCGUGAGAAAGAGAAGCGAGCGUCCGUGAACAUGCUGGCUCUGGGUGAGACCUCGAUGUUCCUGGUCCGCCGGGACAGCAGCUCGAAGCACCUGGUGCUCUGUGUCCACUUUCCUUCCCUGAACGAGAGCUCGGCAGAGGUGCUCGAAUACACCAUUAAGGAAGAAAAGUUGACAUUCCCCUUUUCAGCCUCCAACACUGGAGUUGGGCCAGGAAAAAAAUACAUCAUGAGAUAAUUUAACUCCAAGAACUUUAUUGUAAAACUUCAGCGGUGAAUUUCUUUAAAAAAAAAAAAAGAUCUUGAAUCAUA